This 613-nucleotide long non-coding RNA is filed under the name Setaria italica (foxtail millet). RNAcentral describes it as "long non-coding RNA (SITA_LNC005167)". The record is from RNAcentral. Lineage: Eukaryota; Viridiplantae; Streptophyta; Magnoliopsida; Poales; Poaceae.
UUGUAAUAAAAUUCUCCUUUGGGAUUUAUCACCUCGUCCACUAGUGUUUCCUGGAUUGUCACAAGCCUUUCCUUCUCCAAGAGUUCUUCGCGAAUCUGCCACAUCUGUAAUUUGGAAAUAUGUGAAUGUUACACCAACAAUUAAAUAAAAGGAGCUAGAAAACGAUUAAUAAUUAAUAGGUUUAUUUUACGUAUAGUUAUAUCAUCCGAUAGCACCUUGUCUCUCACGAAUGUGCUCGCAGAUAUAGUAUCCACAUAAAUUAUUUCCUUGUUUGUGUCUCAACAACUUUAGUGGAAAAAACAAGUUAUGAAAUUAUAGAAUGUAUAAAAUGUGCAAACUUCAUACAUACUGGAAAAGUUGUACUGAAUGUAAGUUUUUCUUUGAAAUCACCAUGGUGAGUCUUACAGAAUCAUUUCCAUGCACUGCGAAUUAAAAUAAUGAAUGAAACAGUGUUAGGUGAAAAUUUAGGAAAAAAACUUUUGCAUAGAGAUAAAGAUAUUACAAGUUAAGCAUGUCUUGAAUGUCUUGGUACUCGUCCUCUGGUUUCCUCAACGAAUCAAACACAAUAACCUUGCUUUGAUCAUUCAUAAUUAUAAGGAGAAUCCAGUGGAAA